This 1154-nucleotide long non-coding RNA is filed under the name Callithrix jacchus (white-tufted-ear marmoset). Its description in RNAcentral is "lncRNA (ENSCJAG00000079167.1)". Lineage: Eukaryota; Metazoa; Chordata; Mammalia; Primates; Cebidae. The record is from RNAcentral.
CGAGAAAGCAAAGGAAUACAUAUUGCGCAAAUACUGGAGAUUCGCAAGGUGUUGGGGGAACCACUCUGGUUUGGCUGUGGCCCUACCCUAAUCUCAUCUUGAAUUGUAACUCUCACAAUUCCUACUUGUCAUGGGAGGAACCCAGUGGGAGGUGAUUGAAUUAUGCGGGCGAGUGUUUCCUGUGCUGUUCUUGUGGUAGCGAUGGUUUUUUAAAACAGGAAUUUCCCGGCACAAAUUUGCUUGGUGCCAACCUUGUGAGACGGGACUUGCUCCUCCUUGCCUUCUGCCAUGAUUGUGAGGCCUUCCCAGCCACGUGGAACUCAAAUUGUGCUUGAGUCUACAGGUCAAGAAGAUGAGAAAUGUCUGGUCUCGGCCACAGACACAAGACGAUGAACAAAUAGUCAUCAUUUGAAAAGUGUCACAAUAAGAAGUAAAUGUGCUGCUGCUGUGGUGCCAAGGCCUACCAACUUCAGAGGUGAUCUCUAGCAAAUGCAGCUGCCCUGCCAAGCACAAGAGAAGUUUGCAGAUGCCACAUUCCCUGCUGGGAACAUGACGGACGCACAUUCAAGUCUCCUGGAAAGCAGUUAUUUCCAAGAUGGUACAACAUCCUGUUCCUUGCCUCAGAGAUGAAAAACAGUGACCUGGAACAGAACAACUUUGUAGAUAACCUAAAAGCAUUUCGCAAGCAUAGAGGGUGAGGUGAUUAGCUCUAUCUGAUUGAGUUGCGGAAGCCAUCUCCGAAGAGGAAACAGUGUGUUCUGACAGGAAUUUUCCAUACAUAAAAAGAAACUGCAAAUGCAAAUGCAUGAAGGCUUGAAAGAGAUGGGCUUUGGAAAUCUAGGAAAAAGUUUCUGCAGGUAGAGGUCAAGUGUGUGCACACAGGCUUGUUUGCAGGAAAGGUGGGAGGGAGAAGAGGCAUGCAGUGAAGUUGGAAGGAUAAGUUGGUUGUGGCAGAUGCAGUCUUGAAGGCAGUAGAGUGUGACAGUCUAUAGUUUUCUAGAGGUUGGUAGAAGUGUUGUACAGUGUUGUAAGAAAUGAGUGUAAUAAAGCGCAUGCUGUAACUACCAAGAUGUUAUCACAAGGAGGUGGUUAAGAGAUGGCUAGAUUGUUGCAACCCUACAUGGUGACACAGUUAGGUUAAUGUUUUGUAGAAG